AAGAGAGAAUGUUGGCAUGAGUAGCGAAAGGUGAGUGAGAAUCUCACCCAUCGAAAGCCUAAGGAUUCCUGAGGAAGGCUCGUCCACUCAGGGUAAGUCGGGACCUAAGCCGAGGCGUAUUGCGUAGGCGAUGGACAACUGGUUGAAAUUCCAGUACCACCUUUAAGCGUUUGAGAAAUGGGGUAACACAGAAGGGUAGGCUAGCGCACUGAUGGAAUAGUGCGUCUAAGUAAGUAGGGAGACACCGGAGGCAAAUCCCCGGAGUCAAUCCUGAGAUACGAAUGGGAGCGAAAAGAAGUAGUGAAGUAGUUGAGCCCACGCUGUCAAGAAAAGCCUCUAUCGAGCAAGAAGGUGCCCGUACCGCAAACCGACACAGGUAGGCAAGGAGAGAAUCCAAAGAUGAGCGGAAGAACUAUUGUUAAGGAACUAGGCAAAAUGACCCCGUAACUUCGGGAGAAGGGGUGCCCAUUGGAGUGAAGUCUGAACAGAUGGAGCUUCGAAGGGUCACAGAAAACAGGCCCAAGCGACUGUUUACCAAAAACACAGGUCUCUGCUAAAUCGAAAGAUGAAGUAUAGGGGCUGACACCUGCCCGGUGCUGGAAGGUUAAGGGGAGAAGUCAUCGAAAGAGAAGCUUUGAACUUAAGCCCCAGUAAACGGCGGCCGUAACUAUAACGGUCCUAAGGUAGCGAAAUUCCUUGUCGGGUAAGUUCCGACCCGCACGAAAGGUGUAACGAUUUGGGCACUGUCUCAACAAUAGAUCCGGUGAAAUUGUAGUACUCGUGAAGAUGCGAGUUACCCGCGGCAGGACGGAAAGACCCCAUGGAGCUUUACUGCAGGCUGACAUUGGAAUUCGGUAGCAAUUGUACAGGAUAGGUGGGAGACAAAGAAGCAUGCACGCCAGUGUGUGUGGAGUCGACGUUGGGAUACCACUCUAUUGUUACUGAAUUUCUAACAUGAUACCGUAAUCCGGUAUAUGGACACUGUCAGUUGGGCAGUUUGACUGGGGCGGUCGCCUCCGAAAGAGUAACGGAGGCGCUCAAAGGUUCCCUCAGCACGGUCGGAAAUCGUGCGAAGAGUGUAAAGGCAGAAGGGAGCUUGGCUGAGAGAGAGACAUCUCGAUCAGGAACGAAAGUUGGACUUAGUGAUCCGGUGGUACCGAAUGGAAGGGCCGUCGCUUAACGGAUAAAAGCUACCCUGGGGAUAACAGGCUUAUCUCCCCCAAGAGUCCA
This 1230-nucleotide ribosomal RNA is filed under the name bioreactor sludge metagenome. RNAcentral describes it as "bacterial LSU rRNA". It matches the Rfam family "Bacterial large subunit ribosomal RNA", at positions 1286 to 2502 of the family's 2925-position model. The record is from RNAcentral.